GCUUUAAAGGAAAUAAUAUUAAAUAAGAGGAAAAUUCGUAGGUAGAAAACACAUUCGUUUGCAGCUUUUGCGGGCCUUUUCCGGGAGGUUUUCUUUUGUUUUCAUUCUUUUUCC
This 114-nucleotide non-coding RNA is filed under the name uncultured eukaryote. The record is from RNAcentral.